GAGGCCUAACACAUGCAAGUCGGAGGUGAAGCUUUCUUCGGAAAGUGGAAACUGGCGCACGGGUGAGUAACGCGUGGGAACCUGCCCCGGGGUGGGGGAUAACCGCUGGAAACGGCGGCUAAUACCGCAUACGCCUUUCGAGGGAAAGAUUUAUCGCCCUGGGAUGAGCCCGCGUUGGAUUAGCUUGUUGGUGGGGUAAAAGCCUACCAAGGCGACGAUCCAUAGCUGGUCUGAGAGGAUGAUCAGCCACACUGGGACUGAGACACGGCCCAGACUCCUACGGGAGGCAGCAGUGGGGAAUAUUGGACAAUGGGCGCAAGCCUGAUCCAGCCAUGCCGCGUGAGUGAAGAAGGCCCUAGGGUUGUAAAGCUCUUUCACCCGCGAAGAUGAUGACGGUAGCGGGAGAAGAAGCCCCGGCUAACUCCGUGCCAGCAGCCGCGGUAAUACGGAGGGGGCAAGCGUUGUUCGGAAUUACUGGGCGUAAAGGGCGCGUAGGCGGAAUAUCAAGUCAGAGGUGAAAGGCCUGGGCUCAAUCUGGGAACUGCCUUUGAAACUGGUACUCUAGAGUUCGGAAGAGGAUGGCGGAAUUCCCAGUGUAGA
This 600-nucleotide ribosomal RNA is filed under the name uncultured bacterium. RNAcentral describes it as "bacterial SSU rRNA". It matches the Rfam family "Bacterial small subunit ribosomal RNA", at positions 43 to 679 of the family's 1533-position model. The record is from RNAcentral.